RNAcentral lists this long non-coding RNA (1336 nucleotides) under Marmota monax (woodchuck). Lineage: Eukaryota; Metazoa; Chordata; Mammalia; Rodentia; Sciuridae. The record is from RNAcentral.
AUUUCAUAAUAUAACUAAUGCAUUUUAUUAAGUAUUUUUCAUAACAUUAGUCAUUGAACUGUAAUUUAAUUAUGUUAAUAGAAUUUUAAUGGGUUUAAGAUAUUACCAUUCAGCUUCAUAAUUUGAAUUUUAAACUGAAUUUAUAGUAAAUAAAAACCAGUUUUAUUUUAAUUUUUCAUUGCAUAAUUAUAGUGGAUGAAAGUAGAAUAAAAAGGUAAUUUGUCAGAUUCAAUUUAUUAAUGUCUCUGGUAGUGACCAUACCAAGAUUUACUGCAAUAAACAUAAGCUCUUUAAAAUCUAUCUCCCUCCCUUAUGUUAGGACUAUGCUUAUAUAACUUUAUAUCUAUUACAGGUAACCUAAUUAAGGCAACACUGUGGCUCCAGAUUCAACUUCUGAUAUGUCUUUUACCAGCUCUGUUCACAAUGAGCCUUAACUUUCUCUUUGGUGAACUGGUGUAUCUAAUCUGCGCCUUGUGUAUGCAGAGCAUUGUUAACUGAGGUGAAAAUAAAGUAUUGGAUGUGAUCUAAGCUUUUUGUUACUGUAUCUUUCAUGAUAGACUAGGUCUUUCUGUAUUAACAAACGGGAAAACAAGGCCCAAAUCUCAGUGCCCAUAAGCCUAGUCCCUAUGUAGUUUAUUUUUCAUGCUUCAUAUCUGCAGGCACUUGGCUCAUUGUGAUCCCUGAGAAGCAGGCCAGUGAAAGUUCCAUGUUAGCAUGUGCUUUCACAAUCAUCAGGUCAGGGGAAAGAUGCUGACAAAUCACACCCUGUCAAUUAAAAUGUUCUUGCAGAAAUGACACUCCUAAUUGAGCUCACAUGUCAUUGGCCAAAGCAAAUAACACAGCCACACCUAAUUUCAGAGCAAGUGAGGAAGUGCGGUUCUACCCUGUGUCUUAUGAGAGAGUUGGGCACAUUUCUGAUGAACUCCAAUCAUUAUCAUGGUGUAUAAAUGUGGAAUGGUAAUCUGUUUAUCCUGAGAUGAAUUUAGUGAAGAAAUGAUUUUUGCCUUGCAAUGAUAGGACUGUUAUAUAAUUUUCUGCUAUCAAUUAUAGAUAUGGGCAGCCAAUAUCUGAGAAGGGAAGAUGUUCUGAUAUGAAAUAAAGAUCAGGCAUAUGCACUAUUAUAUUACUAGUAUGAGAAACAUAAGAUGAGAGAGAGAUACACAAAUGAACUAGAAAAGUGGUAAGAAAGACAGAGGGACACCUGACUUGCAGCGGAAUCCUAUAACUAUAGUGGGGAAGGGUUACUGGGAAACGUGAGAUAAAGACAAUAUUGAAGAACCAGAGGGAUAUUGAUUUUCAGAGAGGAUAUGAAAAACUAUAAUACAGAGAAGCAGAA